Long non-coding RNA from Sorex araneus (European shrew), 584 nucleotides. RefSeq lists it as uncharacterized. Lineage: Eukaryota; Metazoa; Chordata; Mammalia; Eulipotyphla; Soricidae. The record is from RefSeq and is a predicted model, not a curated record. The transcript is spliced from 3 exons.
UAAAGGCGCAGCGCCCGGCGCGCCGCCGCCGCCACCGCUGCCUCCCGGGCCGCGCUCGCCGCCGCCCCUGGCCCCUGGGAGGGAACUUGCGCUUUGCCGAAUGGAGCCCGUCGACCCCGUCUGGGUCCGUCUCAAGGCGCACCUGAGUCGAUUUCUAGGUUCCAGUAACUCCACCUCCCCAUCUCUGCCCGACUUUCCCUACCGGUCACCCCUUGCCGUAUGGAAAGACGAGUUCCGCGGAGGUCUUCUAAGACUGACUGACUGCCGUUGUGGAGACAGAUUUCCCCAGCAGGAGAAGGGAAGCGAAAAACUGAGAUCAAUUCCUGGGCGUUGUGCAGAAACAGAACAGCCUUGUGAGAUAGGUUUGUCUACCUGGGAGGGAGCAUAGGUGCCCGGGGAGGCAUGGUUCCCGGCCCCAGAGUAAACCCCUAAAAGUUUCCCUGCCCUCGGAUAGGGCUCUUGCCUUGCACGUGGCUACCCGGGUUUGACCCCGCCCCCCCGUACCCCAUGUGGUCCCCCCAGCCCCCCAGGAAUGACCCCUGAGCACAGAGCCAGGAGUAUGUGACCCUAAAACAAAAUUAAAA